CCCACGGGAGGCUGCAGUGGGGAAUAUUGGACAAUGGGGGGAACCCUGAUCCAGCCAUGCCGCGUGUGUGAAGAAGGCCCUCGGGUUGUAAAGCACUUUCAGUGAGGAAGAACGCCUGGUGGUUAAUACCCAUCAGGAAAGACAUCACUCACAGAAGAAGCACCGGCUAACUCCGUGCCAGCAGCCGCGGUAAUACGGAGGGUGCGAGCGUUAAUCGGAAUUACUGGGCGUAAAGCGCGCGUAGGUGGCUUGAUAAGCCGGUUGUGAAAGCCCCGGGCUCAACCUGGGAACGGCAUCCGGAACUGUCAAGCUAGAGUGCAGGAGAGGAAGGUAGAAUUCCCGGUGUAGCGGUGAAAUGCGUAGAGAUCGGGAGGAAUACCAGUGGCGAAGGCGGCCUUCUGGACUGACACUGACACUGAGGUGCGAAAGCGUGGGUAGCAAACAGGAUUAGAUACCCCAGUAGUC
RNAcentral lists this ribosomal RNA (465 nucleotides) under Vreelandella stevensii. RNAcentral's name for it is "partial 16S ribosomal RNA". It matches the Rfam family "Bacterial small subunit ribosomal RNA", at positions 338 to 795 of the family's 1533-position model. The record is from RNAcentral. Lineage: Bacteria; Pseudomonadati; Pseudomonadota; Gammaproteobacteria; Oceanospirillales; Halomonadaceae.